AUUCCAAUCGAACUCGGAGAUAGCUGGUUCUCCCCGAAAUAGCUUUAGGGCUAGCCUCGUUUUAAAUUACCGGGGGUAGAGCACUGAAUGGGCUAGGGGGCCACAAAGCUUACCGAACCCUAUCAAACUUCGAAUACCGGAUAAUUGAUGAACGGGAGUCAGACGGCGGGAGAUAAGUUUCGUCGUCAAAAGGGAAACAGCCCAGAUCUACGACUAAGGUCCCGAAAUCACAGUUAAGUGGAAAAGGAUGUGCAGUUGCACAGACAACCAGGAUGUUGGCUUAGAAGCAGCCACUCAUUUAAAGAGUGCGUAAUAGCUCACUGGUCGAGUGAUUGUGCGCCGAAAAUGUACCGGGGCUAAACUGUGUACCGAAGUCUAGGGAUCGGAAACGAUCGGUAGGGGAGCAACGUGUGCGGGCUGAAGCCGAAGCGGAAGCGACGGUGGACUGCACGGGAGAGAGAAUGCCGGCAUGAGUAGCGAGAGCAAAGUGAGAAUCUUUGCCGUCGAAAGCCUAAGGUUUCCUGAGGAAGGCUCGUCCUCUCAGGGUAAGUCAGGACCUAAGCCGAGGACAAAAGUCGUAGGCGAUGGACAACUGGUUGAUAUUCCAGUACCACCUUUAGCGUUUGACUGAAGCAGUGACACAGAAGGAUAGACAGAGCGCGUGACUGGUAGAGCGCGUCCAAGCGAUGAGGGAGUUGAUUAGUGAAGUACGGUCAACAAUCCUGGGUCGUGAUGGGGACUGAAAAUAAGUAGGGAAGCUGUUGAAUUCACGCUGGCGAGAAAAGCUGCUAAGGAGCGAAAGGGUGCCUGUACCGCAAACCGACACAGGUAGGCGAGGAGAGAAUCCUAAGACGAGCGGGAGAACCCAUGUUAAGGAACUCGGCAAAAUGACCCUGUAACUUCGGGAUAAAGGGAGCCACGAGAGUGGCCGCAGAGAAUAGGCCCAAGCGACUGUUUACCAAAAACACAGGUCUGUGCGAAGUAGAGAUACGACGUAUACGGGCUGACGCCUGCCCAGUGCCGGAAGGUUAAGGGGAAGUGUUAGGGCAACCGAAGCACGGAACUUAAGCCCCGGUGAACGGCGGCCGUAACUAUAACGGUCCUAAGGUAGCGAAAUUCCUUGUCGGGUAAGUUCCGACCCGCACGAAUGGCGUAACGACUUGGGCACUGUCUCAACAUGGGACCCGGCGAAAUUGUAGUAUGUGUGAAGAUGCACAUUACCCGCGAUAGGACGGAAAGACCCCGUAGAGCUUUACUGUAGUUUAACAUUGGAUUUCGGUAACAUAUGUACAGGAUAGGUGGGAGGCGAAGAACCAGGGACGCCAGUUUCUGGGGAGCCGACCUUGGGAUACCACUCUUGUGUUAUUGGAGUUCUAACGAAUUGCCGUGACCCGGGAUUCGGACAGUGUUAGAUGGGCAGUUUGACUGGGGCGGUCGCCUCCCAAAGAGUAACGGAGGCGUCCAAAGGUUCCCUCAGAAUGGUUGGAAACCAUUCGCAGAGUGUAAAGGCAGAAGGGAGCUUGACUGCGAGACCGACAGGUCGAGCAGGUGCGAAAGCAGGGCUUAGUGAUCCGGCGGUAUGAGAGUGGAAUUGCCGUCGCUCAACGGAUAAAAGCUACCUCGGGGAUAACAGGCUUAUCUCCCCCAAGAGUCCACAUCGACGGGGAGGUUUGGCACCUCGAUGUCGGCUCGUCGCAUCCUGGGGCUGAAGCAGGUCCCAAGGGUUUGGCUGUUCGCCAAUUAAAGCGGCACGCGAGCUGGGUUCAGAACGUCGUGAGACAGUUCGGUCCCUAUCUGUUGCGGGCGUAAGAGAUUUGAAGGGAGCUGUCCUUAGUACGAGAGGACCGGGAUGGACGUACCUCUGGUGCACCAGUUGUCCUGCCAAGGGCAUAGCUGGGUAGCUAUGUACGGACGAGAUAAACGCUGAAAGCAUCUAAGCGUGAAACUCUCCCUAAGAUGAGAUCUCUCAUCCAUUAUGGAGUAAGGGCCCAGAAAGACGAUCUGGUUGAUAGGCCGGAGGUGGAAGCGCGGUAACGUGUGCAGCUGACCGGUACUAAUAGCCCGAGGGCUUGACCU
Molecule: ribosomal RNA, 2076 nt
Filed under: human gut metagenome
Description: bacterial LSU rRNA
Rfam family: Bacterial large subunit ribosomal RNA
Source: RNAcentral